RNAcentral lists this transfer RNA (76 nucleotides) under Candidatus Infernicultor aquiphilus. RNAcentral's name for it is "Candidatus Atribacteria bacterium CG2_30_33_13 tRNA-Thr". It matches the Rfam family "tRNA". From Rfam's summary of the family: Transfer RNA (tRNA) molecules are approximately 80 nucleotides in length. Their secondary structure includes four short double-helical elements and three loops (D, anti-codon, and T loops). RNAcentral also lists the same sequence under 1 other name. Lineage: Bacteria; Pseudomonadati; Atribacterota; Candidatus Phoenicimicrobiia; Candidatus Pheonicimicrobiales; Candidatus Phoenicimicrobiaceae. The record is from RNAcentral.
GCCGAUGUAGCUCAGUUGGUAGAGCAGCUGAUUUGUAAUCAGCAGGUCAUCCGUUCGAACCGGAUCAUCGGCUCCA